Molecule: long non-coding RNA, 3493 nt
Filed under: Monomorium pharaonis (pharaoh ant)
Lineage: Eukaryota; Metazoa; Arthropoda; Insecta; Hymenoptera; Formicidae
Description: uncharacterized LOC118646748
Source: RNAcentral
CUCAAAAGCAUAGAGAGCGCCACUAUUUUCAGCGACUUAGGUACGCCGGAAGUAGGAAGGUCCGUCUUCCGGGACGUGACAUUAUAUAAAAAUAUAUUAAAAGCGUAUAUAGCAAUAAACGUGAUAUGUAUAUGUGACCUAAUACUCUGUAUUCUGUUCGGGAUACGAUUUAGAAGAGUUUCACGUUUUGAUGUCAUCGAUGAAAUAAUCCUCACUUUUUGCUGUUUUAUACUUUUGAAAGUUACGCCAUUUCUACGUAAGUUUUGCAUGUAUUGUUUAUAUUAUUACAUAUUGUUUAUAUGAUAAUCUAUUAUAUGAUCAUCUAUUUAAACUUAAAUCAUUUCUUAAAUCCCGAAUCGAAAUAUAGACGUCGCACUCUUCUCGAGAGUUACGGAGAAUAAACGGAGGGUCACGUAAUAACCAUUUGCGUAUGUUGCCAAACCUCCGUUAUCCAGUUACAUGGCAGUUUAUAUCCAUUUAACGUCUUCGGAGCAGAGAUGAGCGAAUUUGUAAUUGACUAUUACCAAAUUGCAAAUGCUCAAAACAAUGAAUAAUUAAAUGUGAUUUAAUUACACAUUACUUUGAACAUUUGUAAUUAAACACCAUUGAAUUACUAAUUUGUUUGAACAUUUGUAAUGGAUGUUCAAAGUAAUUAAAUUACACUAUUGUAAUGUAAUUACAUUUGUGUAAUUUAUUUACAUUGGUAUAAUUUAAUUACAUUUGUGUAAUUUAAUUACGUCUGUGUAAUUUAAUUACAUUUUAAUUUUUAUUCGAAUUGAGUUAACAUAAGUUCAUAACUUAUGAAAAAUAUCUUAUGCAUGGGAGAAAGCUUUUUUUUCAGACUCGUAUGAUUGCCGCCCAAGUAGAAGGCAAACUUCACGCUCGUCUAAAAAAUGUCGCUUUCUCCGCUAGAUACACAAUAUAUUAUUUUUGCAGUAUGUACACUCUCACGUUCUCUUUGUCGUUAACUCAAUUCGAAUAAAAAUUAAAAUGUAAUUAAAUUGCACAGAUGUAAUUAAAUUACACAAAUGUAAUUAAAUUACACAAACGUAAUUAAAUCAUGCAAAUGUAAUUAAAUCACACAAAUGUAAUUACGUUACAAUAGUGUAAUUUAAUUACUUUGGACAUCCAUUACAAAUGCUCAAAAUAAUGAGUAAUUAAAUGGAACUAAAUUACAAAUGCUGAAAAUAAUGAAUAAUUAAAUGGAUUUCAAUUACAAAUUAUAAAAGUAAUAUGUAAUUGAAUGUGUAAUUUGGAGACAAAAGUAUUUGCUGCCACCCAUCUGAUUGUGAAAUUGUUAGUGUUUAUACUAAAUAAACGCAUUCUGUCAACUCGACUUUGCUCCGUCUAUCUAUUAAUUCUCUGUGCAUUCGUCUAUUCCUCCAGCGGAUUUGCGAAUUCGCGCAACGAGCAUUCCGCGCUCAUUACUGAGCGGUUCCGGCAUCUCGCGCCAUUGAUCGCAUUCGCUAACAAUCUCGCGCGAACAACAGCAAAAAAAAGGUAAAUGUUUAAUUUAACCCUCUUAGCUCGGAUUUCACCCAGAUAGCCAAGCGUUAAAGCAAGUCAUAACUCUGCUUUAACAACUAUUUGCUGCUUUAACAGCAUAAAUAUGCAAAUACGAUUAACCAGUAUUCAGAUUAGAAGAGCUGCUUUUUCUACUUUCUAAACGCAGCCAAUGAGUCUAGGCUCGUCAAAAUCCGAGCUGAGGGGGUUAAACGAAACAUUUACCUUUUUAUUUAUUUAUAUUAUAUUGAUUUAUUUGUUAGAUUGUGUUUAUUAAUAUUUCUUAUAAUGUAGGAAACUUUGUUAAUUUUGUACACGUGUGGUGUGUGUGAGACCAUUUGUGUUAAAGAUGAGUUUUUACAUCAUCCCUGUUUAGAAGGAUAUAAUGCAGUUCAUGUGAUGAAAAUUUAUAUUUUUAUCCCCAAACCGGUGAGUAUUAGUGACAUUUUUUAAAUGACAUAUUUUGUAAGUAGUAUUAGUGGAUACUGUAAUGUGCAGAUGAGGGACAAAUUAUCCGCACGAGUUUGGUGGAUGGUGCAGAGGCGGUCGUGAUGGAGACCACCGAAAAUGAAAAUGCCACUAUUAAUUGGCGAAACAGCUCAUUGAAAAAAUUCAGAAACGUCCAGCGCUAUGGAAUUUUAAGCUUCCUCUUAGUCAACGGGGCAUGCAAAUAAAGAAAAAGCUGUGGGAGGAAAUAUUUAUAUCGAUGAACGGUAACAUUUUAUAAUCAUAACUUAAGUGGAAUAAAAUUAAUAACUGGAAUUGAAAACUGGGAUAAAAUUAACUAAUGUGUCAUUGAAUAUGUUUUUGUCUUUUUCAGGUACAAUGGACAGUGUGACCAUGAAAAAAAAAUGGAAAUCAUUGUGCGAUACAUUUAGAAUCCACAAAAAUAAGUAGCACCAACCGAGUGGCUCAGCCACGAAAAAGUAAUUGGAUGCAUUUUGAACGGAUGCAGUUUCUCUAUGAUAUGCAGCUUGAAAACGAGUACGUGUACACAAAUUAAUCCAGUGAUACAUUUAUAUUUAUCGCAUACAAAUUUAUUCCAAAACUGUAUGUUAUAGAACGGUAACCAACAUCACAGCGUUUGAAGAAUCCAAUAACGACAUAAUAAUGAUAACAGCAUUGGUGAUGAUGCCAGCAAUGGUCGUGUAUCACGUAUGUUAAAUAGUCCGAAGAACCAGGAACCGUUAUAAUUCUACUGACAGUUCCGCCUCUUGAUCCUAAACAGUCACUGAACAAUUCUUACGAACUAUCCCUGUUGUUCCAACCGUACCGCUGUCAAUCCGGCGCCCCCCGCUAAAGAAUAAACAAGAAACGUCACCGCGCCGGAAAGAGGGAGAGAGAAAGGAUACUUAGAGCCCAACAAAGAGCUCUAGAGCGGGCUUUCAAAGACAUCGAGAGCUUCGUGGGUUACCCGCUGCAACAUACCCCUCUUCCUCCUCUUGUCACUACCAUAGACGCUCCGCCAGGAAGAGCUAUCUUCUCCAUCGAUCUUUUCCAAGAGGACACCGUCCCUCUAGAGACCUAUAAGCAAUUAACAACCAACUCCCCUGAAAUCAUUACGCUCAGUGAUUCCGAGGGCGAUUUUUCACAGUUAGAACCAUUAGACCUCACAGUAAAUUACGAUAGCGCUACAAUUUCACAAAUUAUCAUAUUUCCUCCGCCCGAAAUUUAAGGGAACCUCGUUGACACUUGUAACAAUAAUUAAUACCAUACAUUAUUUUAUUAAUAGAUACGUACGCGUAUGUGGUAUCUGUUUAUGUAUUAUUAUAGAACAUUUACAGUGUUUUCCUGUGUUUAUGUAAAUUUUACAUAAGUAUAUAUCCUUUUGUAAUAACGAAAUAUAUGAAGUAUUUGUGCCCUAAUAACAACGUAAUUCUCUCAGUUAAAAUUUUGUAGUAUUACAAAUUGCUUUGUUACAUAUUAAGGUUGUAAGAAAUCAUAACAUACUCUCAUAAUAAAAUCAUGAUAUUCUUUUUAUAGAAACAUA